GCUGCUAGAUGGAUAGUUUAAAGUUCCCAGCUUUAAGAUAUAUGCUGUUGCCUGUUCAAGAAAAACGUUCUUCUAAAAUAGCAAAGUGAUGGACAAGCACUUCUGUAUGCUAGGCAAAAUUAAGAUUAUAGCUAAGGAAGCAUGUGGAAGUGCUAUGCUUGGACAACAUUAAUGGGAGUCUUCAUGCUGCACAGAUUCCAGUUCUGAACCUCCAUGGGGGGAACAAGAUUUGCUUCCUCUCUUCUGUGGCAUAGGUGUAACAUUUAUACAAGGAACCAAUCAGUGGAGC
Dromaius novaehollandiae (emu) is the source of this 289-nucleotide long non-coding RNA. RefSeq lists it as uncharacterized. NCBI's taxonomy places the organism in Eukaryota, Metazoa, Chordata, Aves, Casuariiformes, Dromaiidae. The transcript has 3 exons. The record is from RefSeq and is a predicted model, not a curated record.